ACGCGAGGAACCUUACCAGGUCUUGACAUCCUCUGACACUCCUAGAGAUAGGACGUUCCCCUUCGGGGGACAGAGUGACAGGUGGUGCAUGGUUGUCGUCAGCUCGUGUCGUGAGAUGUUGGGUUAAGUCCCGCAACGAGCGCAACCCUUGAUCUUAGUUGCCAGCAUUAAGUUGGGCGCUCUAAGGUGACUGCCGGUGACAAACCGGAGGAAGGUGGGGAUGACGUCAAAUCAUCAUGCCCCUUAUGACCUGGGCUACACACGUGCUACAAUGGAUGGUACAAAGGGCAGCAAAACCGCGAGGUCGAGCAAAUCCCAUAAAACCAUUCUCAGUUCGGAUUGUAGGCUGCAACUCGCCUACAUGAAGCUGGAAUCGCUAGUAAUCGCGGAUCAGCAUGCCGCGGUGAAUACGUUCCCGGGCCUUGCACUCACCGCCCGU
This 439-nucleotide ribosomal RNA is filed under the name uncultured bacterium. RNAcentral's name for it is "bacterial SSU rRNA". It matches the Rfam family "Bacterial small subunit ribosomal RNA", at positions 959 to 1397 of the family's 1533-position model. The record is from RNAcentral.